GCCCUGCCAACUCUUUAUCCGCCGGAAGGAGGGCGCCGCAUUGGCGGUCUUCUCAUUGCCUGGCUGCUAGAGGCAACCCGAAGUCAGGGUUCUUUCUUUCCUGCUCUGAGAGGGACCAGGUCCCUCCUCUGUAGCUUUUGUCUCUCUAUUGCCUGCGCCGUGUCCUGGACUGCUCACGGGAGUUCUGCAGGAGACGCCGGAAUAUCUGGAAGCUGAAAAAUGGAAAUAAAUGGAAAGACCAGAAUAUUGAAGAUCACUACAGAAAUCUAAGGGUCAGGCAUGGUGGCUCACACCUGUAAUCCCAGCACUUUGGGAAGCAGAGACAGUUGGAUCACUUGAACCUGGGAGGCGUUCUGGAGGUCAGGAGUUCGAGACCAGCUUGGCCAACAUGGUGAAACCCUGUCUCUGCUAAAAAUACAAAAAUUAGCCGGGCAUCAUGGCACAUGCCUGUAAUCCCAGCUACUCUGGAGGCUGAAGCAGGAGAAUCGCUUGAACCUGGGAGGCAGAGGUUGCAGUGAGCCGAGAUCACGCCACUGCUUCUUGCUUUAAAAGAAGAGUAAAGACAAGAGUGUUGGACCACUAUUGCAGUUCUGUAGUAUCAUUUCUUAUAAAAAACAAAACAACAAUAAUUUAUCAAAAUUGGCAUAUAAAGACUGACAACAUUCUAAUAAAGGCACAAAUUUCUUUUUAAUACUUGUUUCAGGCUCUUUAAUCUCUUUAUAAGUUAACUAAUCUAUUUUCUUCAAACUUCUGCAUUAGUUCUUUAAAAUCACAACACUUAGCAAACUGACUUUUUUAAUGUGCUCAAUACAAAUACUUGUGAACUUUUAAUAUGUUGAGUGCUUUCAUUGUGAUAACUGGAUCUCCAUUUGAUAUUUUCAUUUGUAUAACUCAUUUGCAGUCUGAAAAUUUUUAGUGCCAGUCCCUGAAUAUAUCAUUGAAAGUUAAUUUUCUUUGCAUUUUAAAAUAUCUGGAUUAUGAAGAAAAAGUGAUGAAAAUAAAUUAAAACUGAAUUACCUUAAAAAAAAAAAAAAAAA
Gorilla gorilla gorilla (western lowland gorilla) is the source of this 1037-nucleotide long non-coding RNA. RefSeq lists it as uncharacterized. Lineage: Eukaryota; Metazoa; Chordata; Mammalia; Primates; Hominidae. The transcript is spliced from 3 exons. The record is from RefSeq and is a predicted model, not a curated record.